UACGUAGGGCGCAAGCGUUGUCCGGAUUUAUUGGGCGUAAAGAGCUCGUAGGCGGCUUGUUGCGUCGUCCGUGAAAACCCGUGGCUCAACUGCGGGCUUGCGGACGAUACGGGCAGGCUGGAGUUCGGUAGGGGAGACUGGAAUUCCUGGUGUAGCGGUGAAAUGCGCAGAUAUCAGGAGGAACACCGGUGGCGAAGGCGGGUCUCUGGGCCGAUACUGACGCUGAGGAGCGAAAGCGUGGGAAGCGAACAGG
RNAcentral lists this ribosomal RNA (253 nucleotides) under uncultured bacterium. RNAcentral describes it as "partial 16S ribosomal RNA". It matches the Rfam family "Bacterial small subunit ribosomal RNA", at positions 524 to 776 of the family's 1533-position model. The record is from RNAcentral.